RNAcentral lists this long non-coding RNA (218 nucleotides) under Vigna radiata. Its description in RNAcentral is "long non-coding RNA (VRAD_LNC015227)". The record is from RNAcentral. Lineage: Eukaryota; Viridiplantae; Streptophyta; Magnoliopsida; Fabales; Fabaceae.
AAAUACUUAAAACAUAUUUUUUUCUAAAAAAUUAAAAUAUAUAAAUACAAAAAUCAAAUAUAAAAAAUAUAAAAACAUUACAAAUUAAAAAUAUAAUAAAAACCACAUAAAAAAGCAAGAAAAAAAUUAAACUCAACUCGAACUAUGGUGAAGUUUCAAUUGACGUUCGAACAUCGACGAGACCUUGACUGCACUUCAAAGUACAAUUAAGGCUUUUG